UGAACACUUAUGUGGAGGGGGUGGGUCGGGUUUGGGAAGAUCGGUGGAUGUAGAGCCUCAAUCGGAAAUCGCGUUGGUAAAAUCAGAGGCUGUCAGAGCAGGGGAUGUCAAUACUGUGUUAUCUGUGGUGGUGGAAGGUUGUUUGGCUUCCGACGAAUUCAAAUGCAAUGUUAUUAGGAAUUAUUGGUUUCAUUAUCUGUAUGAAUCAGUUUGUAGAACUAAAUCAUAAAAGCUUGUUUUUGCCCUACCCAUAGUUUAAUUGCUUGAACUACAAGAUAUUGAUAUUUUGGUGGAUCGAUUGGAUGGUAUCUUUAGAAGAUAUGCAAAUGCUUUUAUCAAUCUCUGCAAGGAGAAAUGGCUUGAGGGGUUUACUGUUUUGCAUUCUAGUUAUACCAUGUCUUCUUGGAAUUGUAUAUAAGAUGCACUUUUUUCUUUAAUUAUUCUUACUAAAGACUAAAGAGUAUCGGCUUUUGUUUGUGUGUCUUGUUACCAGAGAUUUGGAAGUACCAGCAAGCUGGCCUCCCUAUUUCGACGUUCCACGCUUUGAAGAUUUAAGUAUCACCGACAAUUAAGACUCAUUUUCUCCAUUGUUUAGUUGUAUAUUUGUGAAUAUUCUAUUUAUCCAUUGUUUCCAACAGUUAAGAUUCAUUUUCUCCUUUAAAAUUGCAGGUUUAUUGAUGAUGUAUACUAGAUAUGUCAUUAAAAUAAGCAACUCACUUUGACCCUAAAUAAUAUGCAAACUUGCAUAUUUUUUCAAUUUAGGUGACUAUAAGCUGAAGAAAUGUGUUGUCUCAAACCCUUUUACAACCUGGAGUGAGGAAUAUGAAUCUUUGAUAUGGCAGAUCUGGAACUCGUACAUAUUGAUUUUAACUAACUCCUUUUUAGGUGUUAAUUGUGGACUAAUUUUGUUUUGAAUUCGACUAUAUCUGUUAUGGCUAUGAUGAGGUGCAAGGCUUGUUGGGGAAAAUGCAUAUGUCCAAAAAUAUGUGCUUUCAAGUUUUAUUGUAUUAGAGAUAAAAUAUGUAACAUCACAUUAUGUUUGUGAGAUUGGGAAUGUGUUGUAGGCCUUUUCAUUUUAAGAAAAUUAAAAAAUUUCAUUUC
Non-coding RNA from Malus domestica (apple), 1101 nucleotides. The record is from RefSeq and is a predicted model, not a curated record. Lineage: Eukaryota; Viridiplantae; Streptophyta; Magnoliopsida; Rosales; Rosaceae.